This 246-nucleotide ribosomal RNA is filed under the name uncultured bacterium. Its description in RNAcentral is "partial 16S ribosomal RNA". It matches the Rfam family "Bacterial small subunit ribosomal RNA", at positions 15 to 244 of the family's 1533-position model. The record is from RNAcentral.
GAUCAUGGCUCAGGAUGAACGCUGGCGGCGUACCUAACACAUGCAAGUCGAACGAGGUAUUUUGAUUGAAGUUUUCGGAUGGAUUUCAAGGUACCGAGUGGCGGACGGGUGAGUAACGCGUGGGUAACCUGCCUCAUACAGGGGGAUAACGGUUAGAAAUGACUGCUAAUACCGCAUAAGCGCACAGUACCGCAUGGUACGGUGUGAAAAACUCCGGUGGUAUGAGAUGGACCCGCGUCUGAUUAG